GCCUGUCCGAGCGUCAUUACAACCCUCAAGCUCUGCUUGGUGUUGGGCCCCGCCGCCCCGGCGGGCCUUAAAAUCAGUGGCGGUGCGUCGGGCCCUGAGCGCAGUAAAUAUCCUCGCUACAGGGACCCGGUGGACGCUGGCCAUCAACCUCACUUUUCAAGUUUGACCUCGGAUCAGGUAGGGAUACCCGCUGAACUUAA
Molecule: unclassified non-coding RNA, 200 nt
Filed under: soil metagenome
Description: partial contains internal transcribed spacer 2 and large subunit ribosomal RNA
Source: RNAcentral